Bos taurus (domestic cattle) is the source of this 71-nucleotide non-coding RNA. Lineage: Eukaryota; Metazoa; Chordata; Mammalia; Artiodactyla; Bovidae. The record is from Rfam.
CUCUGGUGGCUCAGAGGGUAAAGAGUCUGCCUUCAAUGCAGGAGACUCAGGUUUGAUCCCUGAAUCAGGAA